RNAcentral lists this microRNA precursor (200 nucleotides) under Oryza sativa Japonica Group (Japanese rice). RNAcentral describes it as "MIR812 microRNA precursor family". It matches the Rfam family "MIR812 microRNA precursor family". The record is from Rfam by way of RNAcentral. Lineage: Eukaryota; Viridiplantae; Streptophyta; Magnoliopsida; Poales; Poaceae.
UUUAAGCGUCUCAAUGUCCAACUUUUGAUCGUCCGUCUUAUUUGAAAUUUUUUUAUGAUUAGUAUUUUUAUUGCUAUUAGAUAAUAAAACAUUAAUAAUACUUUAUAUGUAACUUAAUGUUUUUUAUUUUUUUUCAAAAUCUUUUCAAAUAAGACGGAUGAUCAAAGUUGGACACAAGGAAACUCAUGAAUGCGGUUAAA